This is a long non-coding RNA of Orcinus orca (killer whale), 2377 nucleotides long. RefSeq lists it as uncharacterized. NCBI's taxonomy places the organism in Eukaryota, Metazoa, Chordata, Mammalia, Artiodactyla, Delphinidae. The record is from RefSeq and is a predicted model, not a curated record. The transcript has 3 exons.
UUUACAUGGUGUUCCAGUGCAGGGCUUUGAAGCUACCAAUCAUGAAUAGCAUACUCUCACAUUCCUCUUACGUUAUUUUCCCAGGAAUCUGUGUACCAUACCUGUGAUGUUGGGAGGCAUGAUGUUUUUGAAAAACUUAGACUACACUGAGAUAUGUGAAUUUAAAUCAGCAAUUUAAAACUAUCUGGAUACCUGACAGGAGGGAAACAGGAAAAGAGAGAGUAAAAAGAGAAUGAUGUUCUCACCAAGAAAAAAAGUGAGCUGUGCGUUGGGCUUUUUUUGUUUAUUUGAAUUAAAUUUGAUAACUGUGAUGGAAAGAUCUAGGAGUUAAUAGGAAACUUUUGGACGUGUCAGCAUGCAAGAUACUAUGUUUACAUUUGUUUUACAAAAAAGUCAACAUUAAGGAUGAAAAAUUGAUGACAAAGAUUGUAACAUAAUUUCUGUCUGCAUGUAUACCCUCUCUCCCGCUGUCAUAUGAUCUUAUGUUUAGGUUCUGCUUGAACUCAAAAGAAAGGAAGGAAGGAAGGAAGGAAGGAAGCAGGGGAGGGAGGGAGGAAGGAAUGAAGGAAGAAACUGAGAAGUUCAGGAAGAUUAGAUGCAAACACCAAAAUCCCAGAACAUUUUUUUCUCAGUAUUUCUUCUUCCCAAGGAGAGAGAGGAAAACUACUGAAAUAUAACUGGAAAAAAAUGUUUACUUUGAGAAGCUAACAAUAAUGAGUUAAAGGCAAAGACAUUAAAAAGUUGUACUUAAAUAUACUGACCUUCUAUAAAAAAAUAACAAAGGGAUGAAAUAAGGCCAAGUAUGUAUGAUCUAAAACAAAUCGAAAUGGAUAAAUAUUACGUUUCUGUUGGAGAGUGCUGUUUUAUUUACAGUAUUUUUUUUCAUUAGUUUCGCUUGGGACUUCCUAAUAAUGUUUGUAAUUUUUUUUCCUAAACUUAAAACUCCAAGCACACUAAAAUUUUUGCAUUUUACAAAGCACUUGCCCCAUGGCCCUGAGCCUUUGCACUGACUAUUUCUUCUGUGCAGGAUGUGCACUCCUCACAAUUCCUGCCACACAGAAAACUAGCCAACAAGGAAGUUUCCUCUUCAGAUGGAAGAAAAGAGAAUACAGAUACUCACCUAGGCAUAAGAGAAUUUUUAAUAUUAUAAAGGUGACAAUUCAAAUGAGUGGGUUAAUUAUUUUGUCCACAACUAGUAUUGGAAGAAUUUGCUAAUUAUUUGGAAAAUAAGUAAACCUAGACCCCUGCCUCAUGCCUUAUUCAAAACCAGGUUCCAGAGGUUUAGCAGUGUGAAAAUGAAAAACAAAACUACAGCUAUUAGAAUAUCAUUUAUGAAAAUAAUUUUUCUAAAAAUCAGUUACAAUGUGGAAAUUUAUGGGAAAAAGCAAAUAACUAAUAAACAUACAGGAUGACAACCUCAAUAAUGAUUAGAUAAAUGUAAAUCAAAAUAUCUAGUCUAUACGAAUUAUCACUUAGAAUGUCUUAUAAAUCUGUGAGGGGGUGAAAAGAGUCAUUCUCAAAUGUAGGUGAAAUUCUAAAUCAGUAUAAGGAUUUUAAAGGGCAAUUAGACAAUAACUCAAAAUUCCAAAUGUGCAUACAUGUCAACCCAGAAAGUUUAGUUUUGAGGAAUCAAUCUCAUAGAUAUACUCCUACAUGUGUACAAACACACACACACACACACACACACACACACACACACACAGUCAUUGCAGUAUUAUUUGCUAUAACAAUGAAUAGAGAUAACAAAAGUCUGUCAACAGGAGAUUGGUUAAAACAAUUAGAAUUCAGCCAUACAACAAAAAAUCAGUCCACUAUUAAAAUGAAUAAAGUAUAUCUGUAUUGACCAAGUUGGACAAAUAUUCAUGAUACACUUUUAAGUCAAAAAAGAAUGUUUUAGAACCGUAUGUGUUGAAUGCCUAUACAUACAAAUUCAAAAAUGAAUGCAAUGUUAUGAAGGUACAUGUGUUGUAAUUAUACAACCGCAUGCUUCAACCUGCAUAUGAGUCACCUCCUUUUUGAACCUUUCGCAAUCUCCCUGUGAAUAUGAUAUCCACCUCUUAAAUCCAUACUUUAAGAAUACACCUACAAUUCCACUACCAUCACACCUUUGUAGUUACUGAUCAAAUAAAGAUUAAAAUGUUUUUCAGUGAAAAAAAAGAUACAAACUCAUUUACAAAACAGAAAUAGUCUCACAGACAUAUAAAAUAAACUUACAGUUACCAAAGGGCAAGGUGCAGGGGGAGGGAUAAAUUAGGAGGAUGGAAUUAACAUAUAUAUACUACUAUAUAUAAAAUAGAUAACCAACAAGGACCUACUGUAUAACACAGGGAACUAUACUCAGUAUUUUGUAAUAACUUAUAAGGGAAAAGAAUCUGAA